Phyllostomus hastatus (greater spear-nosed bat) is the source of this 1747-nucleotide RNA transcript. It is a transcript of the gene named carbonic anhydrase 11, with no coding region annotated. The transcript is spliced from 10 exons. Lineage: Eukaryota; Metazoa; Chordata; Mammalia; Chiroptera; Phyllostomidae. The record is from RefSeq and is a predicted model, not a curated record.
AGACGGAGAAGCUUAGAGAGGGAGAGAGGAGGUGAAGAGGGAGAAACCAGAAAGAAGAGGCAGGAGCAGAGAAGGGAGAGGGGGAGGAAGAGGAGGAGGAGGAGGUGAGAGAAGCAGGAUGGGGACAUGGAGUUAGGUGGCUUGGGAGAGCUUACUGAAAAGAGCCAAGAGGGGGUGUGGAUUAGAGACCAAGAGGUAACCCCAGGGAGAAGCAGAAGGCAGAGACAGCAGUAGGAAGAUCAGGAGGCAGGGGGAGACUGGAGAGUUGAGAAGGAAGAGAGACUCAGAGGGGAGGACGGAGAGGAGUGGGUUGAGGGGAUCGCAGUCCCCUGCUGGCUUGGUAUUUGGGGAACCGGGACUCCCCGUGGGGAGAGGAGGAAGGCUGGAAGUCCUGGAGGGACAGAGUCCCACGGAAAAGAGAGGGAAGAGCUGAGAGGGGCUGGGGCGCUGGGAAGGGGUCGCCCCGAGGCCUCCCGGGGAUGGGUGGUGCAGCUAGUCUGAGCGCCUCGCGAACGCUGGUACUCUGGGCUGCACUGGGGGCAGCAGCUCACAUCGGACCCGCACCUGACCCCGAGGACUGGUGGAGCUACAAGGAUAAUCUCCAGGGAAACUUCGUGCCAGGGCCUCCCUUCUGGGGCCUGGUGAACGCAGCCUGGAGUCUGUGUGCCGUGGGGAAGCGGCAGAGCCCCGUGGAUGUGGAGCUGAAGAGGGUUCUUUACGACCCCUUCCUGCCGCCACUGAGGCUCAGCACUGGGGGAGAGAAGCUCCGGGGAACCCUGUACAACACCGGUCGCCACGUGUCUUUCCUGCCUGCACCCCGGCCCGUGGUCAAUGUGUCUGGGGGUCCCCUCCUUUAUAGCCACCGACUCAGUGAAUUGCGGCUGCUAUUUGGAGCACGUGACGGAGCUGGCUCUGAACACCAGAUCAACCACCAGGGUUUCUCUGCUGAGGUGCAGCUCAUCCACUUCAACCAAGAACUCUACGGGAACCUCAGCGCAGCCACCCGGGGCCCCAAUGGCCUGGCCAUUCUCAGCCUCUUUGUCAAUGUGGCUGGAAGCUCAAACCCGUUCCUCAGCCGCCUCCUGAACCGGGACACCAUCACCCGCAUCUCCUACAAGAAUGACGCCUACUUUCUUCAAGACCUAAGCCUGGAGCUCCUAUUCCCUGACUCCUUCGGCUUCAUCACCUAUCAGGGCUCUCUCAGCACCCCACCCUGCUCUGAGACUGUCACCUGGAUCCUCAUUGACCGGGCCCUCAAUAUCACCUCCCUCCAGAUGCAUUCCCUGAGACUCCUGAGCCAGAAUCCUCCAUCCCAGAUCUUCCAGAGCCUCAGCGGUAACGGCCGGCCCCUGCAGCCCUUGGCCCACAGGGCCUUGAGGGGCAACAGGGACCCCCGGCACCCUGAGAGGCGCUGCCGAGGCCCCAACUACCGCCUGCAUGCCCUGUGAUCUAAAGGGCCACCUCUCUGACAUCUCAACAUGGUACGGACCAGAGCCCCCCCUCCCUGCAAGAAUACCUUCACAUAGUUCAGCCUGAUGCUGAAACGGAACGCCCCUGUUCCACCCUCCUGCUGCCUCUCUACGGCUCAACCCACUGCCGGCCCAUUUCUCCCAGCUUCCCAGCCUGUGGAUGGUGUCCCCCAUGGUCGCUGAGAUUCCCUAUCGAGGAUUGCACCUGUUCUUCCCAACCCUACCCAAGAGGGAAGGGGAGUCACUCCCAAAACAAAGCUAUUAAAGGAACAGAAUAA